Molecule: RNase P RNA, 378 nt
Filed under: Sphingomonas qomolangmaensis
Lineage: Bacteria; Pseudomonadati; Pseudomonadota; Alphaproteobacteria; Sphingomonadales; Sphingomonadaceae
Also listed under: 1 other name
Description: Sphingomonas sp. S5-59 RNase P RNA component class A
Rfam family: Bacterial RNase P class A
About the family: Ribonuclease P (RNase P) is a ubiquitous endoribonuclease, found in archaea, bacteria and eukarya as well as chloroplasts and mitochondria. Its best characterised activity is the generation of mature 5'-ends of tRNAs by cleaving the 5'-leader elements of precursor-tRNAs.
Source: RNAcentral
CCAGAGGGUCGGGCGACCGCGGGCGGGCAACCGCGCGAGGAAAGUCCGGGCUCCACGAAACGACGGUGCCGGGUAACGCCCGGCGGGGGCGACCCUAGGGAAAGUGCCACAGAGAGCAGACGGCUAAGGCUUCGGCCCAGUCAGCGUGAAAGGGUGCGGUAAGAGCGCACCGCGCGCCUGGUAACAGGGGCGGCACGGCAAACCCCACCGGGAGCAAGACCGAAUAGGGACGGCACAUGCGCCUCGUUUCGGCGCGUCGUCCGGGUUGGUCGCUCGAGCGCGUCGGCAACGGCGCGCCUAGAGGAAUGGUCGCCCAUCCGCCCGCCGCGCAAGCGAACGGGCGGUGGACAGAACCCGGCUUACAGACCCUCUGGCAUC